UACGAAGGGGGCUAGCGUUGCUCGGAAUCACUGGGCGUAAAGCGCACGUAGGCGGCUUUUUAAGUCAGGGGUGAAAUCCCGGAGCUCAACUCCGGAACUCCCUUUGAUACUGAGAAGCUUGAGUCCGGGAGAGGUGAGUGGAACUGCGAGUGUAGAGGUGAAAUUCGUAGAUAUUCGCAAGAACACCAGUGGCGAAGGCGGCUCACUGGCCCGGUACUGACGCUGAGGUGCGAAAGCGUGGGGAGCAAACAGG
This 253-nucleotide ribosomal RNA is filed under the name uncultured bacterium. RNAcentral describes it as "partial 16S ribosomal RNA". It matches the Rfam family "Bacterial small subunit ribosomal RNA", at positions 524 to 776 of the family's 1533-position model. The record is from RNAcentral.